CAUAUAAAGCGGGACAUCUUCCCCAUCCAAAUCAUAGAAUUUUGAAUUUCUUCUUCAACGUGAAGGAAAACGUAAUCAAUCAUGAAGACCAAGGGGACAUCUAGUUCUCUUUUGCUCAUCACUGUUUUGAUCAAUGUUGCUCAAUGUCGACCCCGGGGAGUCCUCUUAUUGGACGAAAAAUCUGUCAACCGAGAUGAACUCUCAUCAUAUGAUUCCAUAAUGAAGUCAUUCGCUGAAAAUUGCCAAUCAAUGAAUGAAACUGAAUCUGGAUGUCAGUUAUUCCAAAUUGAACAUGAUGGUAAAUUAGUUAUUCCACCUUAUGAAUUCUUAAUGACGCAGUUAGUGUUACGCUGCAAGAUUCUGACAAGACUAUGGUCCCACCCAAGGUGGUGCAAAGAGCUUCAGUCACCCAAUGGAGAAUUUUUCAUGAUAAUUCCAUCAUUUGAGGAAUUGCAAGAAAGAACACAGAGUAACUGUAAGGAGGCGCUUUCGAAUUAUGCUACCACACCCGACCAUCUCCUUUGGUGCAGAAUAUUUGGAUUUUAUUGAUAAUUUCGUGACUUUUUCUCCCCUUCAACUACGACCACCCAUUGAAGAAUUGGUGUCAAACCAUGUCAAUCGAAGCUCCCAAAAAUAAAUUAUGAAUAUGCACAUUAA
Long non-coding RNA from Tigriopus californicus, 657 nucleotides. RefSeq lists it as uncharacterized. Lineage: Eukaryota; Metazoa; Arthropoda; Copepoda; Harpacticoida; Harpacticidae. The transcript has 2 exons. The record is from RefSeq and is a predicted model, not a curated record.